CAUAGGAGGCUUUGUACGUCAGAGUUUGGUUUUUCUUCUUAUAUGGUAUACAUUCCUGGAUUCAUCUAAGGAUGGCUUUAUCCGAUCAACUCGACCAAGCACUAAAUCUACUGGGAGUGUGACCGAUCGCCCAAACACCAUUUCACAUGGGCUUAUCCCUGUGGCUUCAUGGGAAGAUGAUCGAUAUGCCAACAUGAGUAAGGGUAUCAGGGAUAGCAUCAACCCAUUUGGUGAAGUAGUCUCCCACAACUAGAAGAUAAGAAUUUUUCCUGUGAGUCAUUGGUAAAGGACCUAAUAUAUCCACUGCCCAUCCUUCCAUUGGAGCACCAACCAGAACCCUUGGGAGCUGAUGUUUGUUUUGGUGAAGAUUCAUUUUGAAAGAGUUCUUCAUGGGAUGAAUUUUCUACUUCUGCUUGGGAUCUUGGAUCAAAAAUAAUCUCUCCCGAAUCAUCUAAAUGACUAUCCUCCCGUGACAUUUUUAAGAAUUUCUUUUGGGAGUAUUAUUUUACUUUAUGAUGUAAAAAAAUUAUUUGUAUAAUUAUUGUCUUUUGUCCAAUCAGAUAAAUGGGAAUAAAAAUUGAAGAAUCCCACUUCUGACACCAAUGUUGCCGUUCAGGGGUUUUCUCCCUUAUGUAACUUGUGGGUCUCCCAAGUCUGUAUAUUGGACAAAAGAACUCUA
This is a long non-coding RNA of Saccostrea echinata, 679 nucleotides long. RefSeq lists it as uncharacterized. The transcript is spliced from 4 exons. NCBI's taxonomy places the organism in Eukaryota, Metazoa, Mollusca, Bivalvia, Ostreida, Ostreidae. The record is from RefSeq and is a predicted model, not a curated record.